This 490-nucleotide ribosomal RNA is filed under the name uncultured bacterium. RNAcentral describes it as "partial 16S ribosomal RNA". It matches the Rfam family "Bacterial small subunit ribosomal RNA", at positions 30 to 507 of the family's 1533-position model. The record is from RNAcentral.
AUUGAACGCUGGCGGCAGGCCUAACACAUGCAAGUCGAACGGUAACAGGAAGCAGCUUGCUGCUUUGCUGACGAGUGGCGGACGGGUGAGUAAUGUCUGUGAAACUGCAUGAUGGCGGGGGAUAACUACUGGAAACGGUAGCGAAUACCGCAUAACGUCGCAAGACCAAAGAGCAGGACCUUCGGGCCUCUUGCCCGCGGAAGUGCCCCGAUGGGAUUAGCUAGUAGGUGGGGUAACGGCGCACCUAGGCGACGAUCCCUAGCUGGUCUGAGAGGAUGACCAGCCACACUGGAACUGAGACACGGUCCAGACUCCUACGGGAGGCAGCAGUGGGGAAUAUUGGACAAUGGGCGCAAGCCUGAUGCAGCCAUGCCGCGUGUAUGAAGAAGGCCUUCGGGUUGUAAAGUACUUUUAGCGGGGAGGAAGGGAGUAAAGUUAAUACCUUGGCUCAUUGACGUUACCCGCAGAAGAAGCACCGGCUAACUCCGUG